Molecule: ribosomal RNA, 254 nt
Filed under: uncultured prokaryote
Description: partial 16S ribosomal RNA
Rfam family: Bacterial small subunit ribosomal RNA
Source: RNAcentral
UAAUACGGGGGGGGCAAGCGUUGUUCGGAAUUACUGGGCGUAAAGGGCUCGUAGGUGGCCAACUAAGUCAGACGUGAAAUCCCUCAGCUUAACUGGGGAACUGCGUCUGAUACUGGAUGGCUUGAGAUUGGGAGAGGGAUGCGGAAUUCCAGGUGUAGCGGUGAAAUGCGUAGAUAUCUGGAGGAACACCGGUGGCGAAGGCGGCAUCCUGGACCGACAUUGACGCUGAGGAGCGAAAGCCAGGGGAGCAAACG